GUCAGGCCUCCAUGAACUGAAUACUUAUUCUCCCAUUUUCCAAGUUACUUCAAAUUAAAAGAAAGAAAGAAAAGAAGAUGCUUUUCCAUUGCAUGAAUGCUUAAAUUAUCAUCCAAUCACUGUCUUACUCGGCUUCCUCUUCAAUGAAGGUUCUGACAUGAGUCUUGGACUUCUGUUUACCUGAAUGCAGUAAACAGAAAAUACUAUUGCAUCUGUGAUUGAGAUUAAAAAGGCUUACUAUCUCAAGGUAAGAUUGAUCCUCAAAAUCUAUUGCAUUAUCUUAUUUAUAUGGAUUAUUUAUUUAUUUUUACUUUUGAUAACUGUGUUGAUUUGGGUAGCUUGGCAUGUUUGUGUUGUUAGUUCGUUCAUCGAAAUGGAGUGUAGAGUUGUAGAAUUUCAUUUGCAUUGUUUAGCUUGUCCUGUACAGUGAUUUUUGGAAAUUUUAGCCUGUAAUAUAUGUUUUAUGAUCUGUUACAAAUACACAUUUUCUUAUCAGCUUUUUGCGGCUUCUCAUUGAAAAACUGUGCCUACCUGCCUAUUACUUGGUAGAUUGUGAUCCUUAUGGUUUUGACAUUCUGAAAAUCUAAAGCGACUGGAAAUAUAAAGUGAACAAAGCCCCAUAAUAAUCUGCAUCCAAAUCACUUGAUUGAGAGAAACUCAAACAAGAUUGAUAACAGCGCACAUCUAAUUCUUUAGUUUUAGAUAGUCUUUUCCUUAAUUUUAUCACCAGAUAUGCCAUCUGAAUUCAUUAGAGGCGUUUAUAAAUUUGAAAGUUUCCACGUCUCUGGACUUUCUACUGUCUUCAUCUUAGCUUUCAUUAGUUAUUAGGAAUUUAGGAGGAAGAUGUUAUGUUCUAUUUUUGUGAUCUACCAUGGGCUCAUGCACAAUCUUCUUUCUGGCAGGUAUUGGUGGGUGUAAAGUUUCAUGUUUCUCUUUGUGAUUAAUGAAUUUUGGUUGAGGUUCUGCAAAUAUGUUUUUCUUUUGUGCUGGUUUAAUUAAUGACGGCUAGAGGAGGUAUGGAUCAUUAGGCUUCAUGGUACAUGUCUGUAAUUGAUCUAUGAUGAACUGAUCAAAGCAAAGUCACCUUCUUUGCAGAUAUGCUGGAUUAAAAAGACACUUUCUAAUCGAUACACAUUUUUCACAGGAUGGAGAUAAAUCUCCUGAUCCCAAUGUGGAAAAUACAUCAUCUCAAAAUCCAAGUAAUUUUAGUUUCUAUCUUUAAACUUUCAUAUGAAAUUGAUGAUGGGUUUGGAUUUUUGUUUGCCUUCAUACAAAUUUUCUCUCAUGCGUUUGGAUUUUUAUUUGCCUUUAUACCAAAUUUCUCUCACACUUUCUCCAAAAUUUGCCGUGUUCACUGUUAGCUCAUUCAUUUCUUGCAGUCCACUUUUGGGGGCGUAAAACAAUGUAAGAACAUUAAAUUGGCUCCAAUUGCAAAGCUAAUAAAUUUAUUUUUCAACCAGCCUAACAUCAUGUAAUUCUAAUACUAUUUGAAUGACUUAGAACCAUUUGGUUCUUUGGUGGAAAGGUUUUAGCCCUUUAUGCUGGUGAAAUUGGUGGGAGCUGCUUUGGUGGUUUUGUUCAUCUUUUCUGGUACAAAAGUGGAAGCAGAUGGGUCAAAUCACAAGUAUAAGGAGAGAGAUCAUGUCCCUUUGUAUGCAAACAAAGUGGGUCUUUUUCACAAUCCAAGCCGGCCUUAAAUGUAAGGGAGAAGAUAUUGAUUCUCAUAGAUACAUGGCAAGCUGCUUUUGGGGGAGCCAGAGGGAAGUAUCCCCAGUACUACACUGCAUAUAAUGAAUUGAAGGUUGAUGGCAAGAAGAAUCUUUGCCAUUAAGCGUUGAUCUGUUUCGGGGUGCCACAUGGUUGGACUAUUUCAGUGCUUGGAGUAUUGGAAUUUGAUGGUAAUGAUUUUGUUAGCUGAGCUUCUGAAAAACCCGGAAAUAGCAGUUGGUGCUGCCACCAUUUGAAUUUCGGAAGUUUCUUCUUCAAAUGGUUGGAAUAUCUUAGAAGAGAGAUUCCCUGCUUUCCAGUGGUAUGAUGCCUAGAAGACAUCGAAAGCCUUUCAAGAAUCCCUUCUUUUGAUAUUUUUGCUUAUAACGUGGAGUUGUCAGGGAGAUUUUGCAUAUGAAAUCUGAUACGUUCAGUAUUCAUCAGUCUCUUCUUAUUUUGGAUUAUGCACAGAGGUUCGAGAAUGGUAGUUUGGUGGGCUCAGCACCAACUAUCCAGUAAGCUGGGAACGACGUCUUCUAUACUGCAUUCCAGUAAGCUGUUAAAAUUUUUGUUAAAUAGGAAAAGUUGAAAUCUAGAAUGUAAACCUUAAUAGGCUGCUGCUACUCAUUAACUGCACAUGGCAAGGAUAUAAUCCAAAUAGUCACUCUAGCCUGUUUAAAUCAUUCCUGUAUUUGUUUCCUAUUUUUUAAAAUGGAUUUAGCAAGAUGCAUGCCAAGUCCUACUACCCACCCAAUCAAAUACCAUAUUUGAUUUCUAUAUUCAAUGAAUUCCCUGCUUUGAAUUACUUGCAUACUUGUGUACAAUUGAUCGUUCCCUGGUUUGAACAUGUAUGAUCAAUUGUUCCUUGCUUUGAAUAUGUAUAAUCGAUCGUUCCCUUCUUUGAAUAUGUACAUUUACUCCAAUGGAUGCAUCAUUAUAUAUUUAGAGAAAGCAACCUAUAAGAUCCGAAGAAGAAAAUGAUCCCAUGUUUUAAGGAACCUCAAUCAUGACAUUACCUGAUUAAUGAUAUCUGAUAACUACGACAUGAUUUCAUGUCGCCAUCUACUACAUUGGUUGACUAAAGAAGAAUGGACUGAUAUUUGACUCUAAUAUUGGCUAAAGGCCUUUUUAAGUUUCAUCUAGGUAAUGUUAUAGUUCACCUAAUCUAUAAUUCAAAGCAAAUCUUUUUCUUUCUUUAUUUGUUUCUUCUUCUUCUUCUUUUUUCUUUUAGAUGAUUACAGGCAUGACUAAAAGAUAUUGGAAUUGUUUGUUAUAGGUAUAGGUCAGGUCAUAAAGGGCUGGGAUGUCCCAUGUUUCUGCAGCGGGAGAAAGUGACUCUGCAGAGAAUGACUCAUGUGAUUCUCCUCUUGAACCAAACAGUCCUCUAUGUGGGCAUUCAGACAAAUUAGAUGGUGAAGGGUAUGCUACUAGCAUCUAAUUUUUAUACUUUUUAUAUUGCUUGAGAACUUCGAAUGCUAGAUUCUUGCUCUUUUUUGUGUUUUUCAUUAUCAUGGUUUUCAACAAGUAUCCUGCUACUGAGAAAUUAGCUAAUGGCCUAGAGAGAAGCUGAUAUGCACUGGGUCUAC
This is an RNA transcript of Magnolia sinica, 3293 nucleotides long. It is a transcript of the gene named transmembrane 9 superfamily member 4-like, with no coding region annotated. The record is from RefSeq and is a predicted model, not a curated record. The transcript is spliced from 6 exons. Lineage: Eukaryota; Viridiplantae; Streptophyta; Magnoliopsida; Magnoliales; Magnoliaceae.